RNAcentral lists this signal recognition particle RNA (100 nucleotides) under Escherichia coli HS. Its description in RNAcentral is "bacterial signal recognition particle RNA". It matches the Rfam family "Bacterial small signal recognition particle RNA". From Rfam's summary of the family: The signal recognition particle (SRP) is a universally conserved ribonucleoprotein involved in the co-translational targeting of proteins to membranes. Archaeal SRP consists of a 7S RNA and homologues of the eukaryotic SRP19 and SRP54 proteins. RNAcentral also lists the same sequence under 4 other names. Lineage: Bacteria; Pseudomonadati; Pseudomonadota; Gammaproteobacteria; Enterobacterales; Enterobacteriaceae. The record is from RNAcentral.
CUGUUGGUUCUCCCGCAACGCUACUCUGUUUACCAGGUCAGGUCCGGAAGGAAGCAGCCAAGGCAGAUGACGCGUGUGCCGGGAUGUAGCUGGCAGGGCC